UUGGGGUCAGGGAUUCAAAGUAUCCAAAAAGACGCAGUCUUCUUCUGCGACAAAUCUAGGGUUUUUUUGGUGUUCAUAUCUCUCGCCCCAUAGCCCCACCCGAUCAAAUCUACAUACAUCUAGUACAUAUGCAACCUCCAAACCCUCUCCGAUUCCUACACGGAUUCGUCUAAUUAAUAUUGAAUCCACUAUAACCCAUAUCUCAUUUGGUUUUUGGCUAUUAAUAAUGAUUCUCUCUCUCCUCUUGCGAUUCUCACCACCAUCCUCUUCUUUAAUUAAGCUUCGCAAUCUUCGUGUCUUUGGCCCUGGUUUGAAUCCUUUUGCGCCUUACAACAUGGCUAAUCACUCUUCUCGCUAAAUCUCUUGUCACUUUGUUUUGUUAUCCGCUCUCAAUUAUGUAAAGAAAGAAAAUCCUUUAAUUUGAGGGUCUAUUAGGUCCUAUUUUGGGUGUUUUAUACAACGAGUUGUUCAAAUUUGAGGGUUUGUUUUCUUGAAUACUGCAGUUUCUCGAGUCUCUUAAAUCAUGUAGAAAAGAAAAUUCCUGAAAUUUGUGGGUCGUUUACGUCCUAUUUGUCUGACAAUUACGUGGGUUUUCUUAGCUUUAGAAAUCUCAGCACAAUUAGUAAAAUUUGUCGAUUUGUUUGGUUAAAUAACAGUUUAUUGAGUAUUGGGUGUUCUUUGUUCUUUCUCUCUCUCUCUCUCUCUCACAC
RNAcentral lists this long non-coding RNA (710 nucleotides) under Panax ginseng (ginseng). RNAcentral describes it as "long non-coding RNA (PGIN_LNC002589)". Lineage: Eukaryota; Viridiplantae; Streptophyta; Magnoliopsida; Apiales; Araliaceae. The record is from RNAcentral.